RNAcentral lists this unclassified non-coding RNA (275 nucleotides) under Hevea brasiliensis (rubber tree). Lineage: Eukaryota; Viridiplantae; Streptophyta; Magnoliopsida; Malpighiales; Euphorbiaceae. The record is from RNAcentral.
GACGGGUAGCACCAUCUGCUUGUUUUCCCCCCUAAACAUCUCUAUUUUUUAUUUUUUGAUAAUAUUUUCUGUCUAUGCUUGUUUGGACUUCCUAGGAGAAACAUAUUAUACAGUAAUAAAUUGGAUGCUUAAGUUUUCAGAAAUUGCUUCUAGUGCCCAAGAUUAGAAAACAUCACCACUAUAUGGAUUUGCGAACACUUGCGGUCCUUAUGGUUUUUAUUUAAGUUGUAGUCUUGCAGAUAUCUCUUCUCGCAUUGACAUAUAUAUGCUGCUUA